Long non-coding RNA from Plectropomus leopardus (leopard coralgrouper), 633 nucleotides. RefSeq lists it as uncharacterized. The record is from RefSeq and is a predicted model, not a curated record. Lineage: Eukaryota; Metazoa; Chordata; Actinopteri; Perciformes; Serranidae.
UCAUAUUAAUAGUUGUAAAGCUUUUAAAAUAACUGCUAAACUUUUGUCCGGCAAUUAACAUUUCCUAAAUGUCAGGGUGGCGCAACCAUAAACAUUGGACUUUUAUUUUGAAGUGAAGAGACAAUAGCUGUACACAGGAUGUUGCAUCAGCCAAGAGACCCUUGGGACUAAGCUAAAAGAUGCCACUAUCAACUAAAGAAAAAUCAGCACGACAUCGGGCACGCAUUAAAAAUGAUCCAGCUGCAAGGGAAGCAUAUCUGGCAAAAAGAAAAGAGAGUUAUCAGAGGAGGAAGAGAGAGGGAAAGAUUGUGAAGCCCCCCAUCAGCCAACUGUCUAAGCAAAAAAAAAAAAAAAAUGAGGCAACAGUGGAGGCAAGAUCGGAGAAAGCACAGGGAGCGUAAAAGGGGGCCAUGGAGGAAAUCUUGAAUUUCACACCAGCGAUCACCAGUGAUCUAAAUGUAUACUUUACCUGAUGGUGCAACGAAGCACGCCCUUUACCUGUGAGGAGUUUUACAGCUGCACACUGUAAGGAAAAGUGACCCACCAACCCCAAACCUGCACCAUCACUCAUCUGCAAUGGGAAUCCAAGCGGCCAUGUUUUCGGUCGGCCUGCCCAACUCGGAGAGUGUUGCC